UGGGGAAUUUUGGACAAUGGGGGAAACCCUGAUCCAGCCAUCCCGCGUGUAUGAUGAAGGCCUUCGGGUUGUAAAGUACUUUUGGCAGAGAAGAAAAGGCAUCCCCUAAUACGGGAUGCUGCUGACGGUAUCUGCAGAAUAAGCACCGGCUAACUACGUGCCAGCAGCCGCGGUAAUACGUAGGGUGCAAGCGUUAAUCGGAAUUACUGGGCGUAAAGCGUGUGUAGGCGGUUCGGAAAGAAAGAUGUGAAAUCCCAGGGCUCAACCUUGGAACUGCAUUUUUAACUGCCGAGCUAGAGUAUGUCAGAGGGGGGUAGAAUUCCACGUGUAGCAGUGAAAUGCGUAGAUAUGUGGAGGAAUACCGAUGGCGAAGGCAGCCCCCUGGGAUAAUACUGACGCUCAGACACGAAAGCGUGGGGAGCAAACAGG
RNAcentral lists this ribosomal RNA (429 nucleotides) under uncultured bacterium. Its description in RNAcentral is "bacterial SSU rRNA". It matches the Rfam family "Bacterial small subunit ribosomal RNA", at positions 355 to 776 of the family's 1533-position model. The record is from RNAcentral.